Molecule: transfer RNA, 72 nt
Filed under: Camelus bactrianus (Bactrian camel)
Lineage: Eukaryota; Metazoa; Chordata; Mammalia; Artiodactyla; Camelidae
Also listed under: 3 other names
Rfam family: tRNA
About the family: Transfer RNA (tRNA) molecules are approximately 80 nucleotides in length. Their secondary structure includes four short double-helical elements and three loops (D, anti-codon, and T loops). Further hydrogen bonds mediate the characteristic L-shaped molecular structure. tRNAs have two regions of fundamental functional importance: the anti-codon, which is responsible for specific mRNA codon recognition, and the 3' end, to which the tRNAs corresponding amino acid is attached (by aminoacyl-tRNA synthetases). tRNAs cope with the degeneracy of the genetic code in two manners: having more than one tRNA (with a specific anti-codon) for a particular amino acid; and 'wobble' base-pairing, i.e. permitting non-standard base-pairing at the 3rd anti-codon position.
Source: Rfam by way of RNAcentral
GUGGGUAUAGCUUGAUGGCAGAGCGCAUGCUUAGCAUGCACAAGGGCCUGGAUUCAAUCCCCAGUACCUCCA